This 261-nucleotide ribosomal RNA is filed under the name uncultured soil bacterium. RNAcentral describes it as "partial 16S ribosomal RNA". It matches the Rfam family "Bacterial small subunit ribosomal RNA", at positions 26 to 278 of the family's 1533-position model. The record is from RNAcentral.
AGAUUGAACGCUGGCGGCAUGCCUUACACAUGCAAGUCGAACGGCAGCACGGGAGCAAUCCUGGUGGCGAGUGGCGAACGGGUGAGUAAUAUAUCGGAACGUGCCCAGUCGUGGGGGAUAACGCAGUGAAAGCUGUGCUAAUACCGCAUACGAUCUAUGGAUGGAAACGGCGGGGGACUCGCAAGAGCCUCGCGCGAUUGGAGCGGCGAUAUCAGUAUUAGCUUAGGUUGGGUACGGGUAAAACGCCCAACGAAGGCGACG